AGUGGCAGAAGGGAGAGGGAGAGGGAGUGGGAGCGAGGGUUUUCUUGGCAUGAAAUGGAAAGUGGGCGAGAAGGAGAAGGAGCGAGGGUUUUCUUGGAAUGAAACGGAAAGUGGGCGAGAUGGAGAAGGAGCGAGGGUUUUCUUGGAAUGAAAGGGAAAGUGGUCGAGAGGGAGAAGGAGCGAGGGUUUACUGCGUGUGUGCCUUAGAAAUGAAGCUAAGUUCUCCAGGGAUUUUCCUUGGAGGGUAGGAGAUCGGGUCAUGUCGCUGGAUCGGUGGAGAUAGGUUUGUGUUUUCCUGGCGAGCUCGUCCGAAAAUUGACGCCGUGAUUAUGCUGGAGUAAGUUUCCAGGGUUGUCGAAAAAUGUUUUACACCCGUUCAUCUUGGCGAAGAAGGGUCCUCUGAGGACGAUCUGGAUUGCUGCUCAUUAGGAGGGUAAGCUGAGGAAGAAUCAGGUCGCGGAUACGGACGUCGGCCUCUCUAUAGGAUUUUAUUCAAAUUGACAGUUCAAGCCUCAAGGACCUUGUUGAGAUUGACAUAGAUGCUGCACGUGGACCAUCCGACUGUGAAAUGGCAGACUACUUUAUACUUCUUAUGCCUCUGAAAUUUAAACAUAAUAUCGACAUGACAUCCUUUAACAGGUUUAUCGAGUUUCAUUACUAGGAGGCCAGCAAUACAUAUCAACUCUUGAGAAGCCAUUUCCCAAUAUUCCAAUGGUUGCCUCUCAAGUUCAUUAGAUGAUCUGAAAGUUCGAAUGGUGAGUGAUCUGUGCCACCAUAUUCUUGGGGAGUUGGACAUGCUGCAUUUUUCUUCUGGUCUCAGAGCUCUCACAAUUUCUCCUGCAGUUGAACCCUUGGCAGUCCUAUUACCUUUGACAUUCUUACAGCUUUAAACAUCUGGCAUGCUAAUUAUUUUUUGGACACCAUUGGGAUACAUGAUGAUCUACGGUUGGACCUUUGGCUUAAAUUCUUGGCAUUAGGAUCAUAUGCGCUGUGCUGGAGAUGUUUGCUUCUCUCAAGUUUUUCGUGAGGGCCGAGGUAAGUGUUACUUUUUUCCCCCUCAUAUUUUUCUCUACACUUCUAUCUCAAUGAAUGAUUUAGUGGACCAUUUUGCUGCAUUCCAUGGAAUACUGUAUAAAGACAAAAAAAAGGCGGCAAUGAUGGCAGCAUUUCUUUUACUAUCCGCUUUCCUAGUGAGGUUGCUCGGUCUGCUGUCACUACUUUUCUGGUGCUUUCAAUAUUAAUCCUCUGCCUCUAUGUGCUGCUAUGUCACCGCUGCAAGUGUGUCAUUAGUGUUUAGGGGUGUGUGUCAUGAAGAGUGAGAUGUAAAAUCGAUGCAGUGCAAAAAAAAAAAAAAUGUUGAUAUGAUCGGAGCGUGAAGGAGGUGCAGUGGAGUAGCUUUCAUACAGGUAUAGGUGAAAAUUGAUUGUGGUGGUUUUAGUUCUCAUUCAGAUUUCUUUGCUGAAUUGGAUGAAAAUAAAUCUAGACAGACUGGAGAGGAGCAUGACACCACAUUCUCAUCAACGUCUUUGCAAUUUCAAUUGCAAAAUCAAGCUGGUUUUGUUCAAGGAAGAACACAACAAACUGAUGCGAUCAGUGGUGGUUUGCGGUCAUCUUCAUCUUCUGUCUUUGGUAGUUCUUCUAUAAAAAAAAAACCCAAUAAAAAGGUCGUUGAGAAGGACCCAAAUGGUUGUGCUGCAAACUGCGAAUCAGAAGCUCAUGCUCACAGCACAGAGGGUGCUACAUCAUACCAGCAGCUUCAAUAUAGUCCUGAGUAUUGGGAAAGCCUGCUGGAUGGAGGUAUGAUCACAAUACAGAGGAAUGGCACCGGAUAGAUGGUUAAGUGCUGGAUUUGGUGGGAGAAUUGUGGUCCUGAAAGUAAAUGAUCCUUUCGGCAGGAAUUCAGCACUUGAGAAUCUUAUGUUACAUAUUUCAGUUGUCCUUUUUCUAAGUUGAUUCAUAAGUUUGCUUGACUUCUUAUGUUUAACUGUCGUUUCAUGUGAAGGAUCCAGUAGGAAGCAUGACUUUAGUUCAUAACAUGAUGGAGAUUGUGAAAGAUAAAUUUGGUGAUGGAAGCUAUAAAAGCAGCGCAUGCGAUUAUUUCCAUACUUUAUGUACACAUGAAAUUUCACUGUUGAACACGGAAGGAUACCUUGUUGCAGCAUGCUUAGAGAUAAGGCCUGAGUCUCCACCAACAGCAGCACAAAACAAGAUCAAGGGCGUCUUCCCUUCAUCUACAUACUGAAGAUCUAGCAUGAAGGAAGAAAAGAGAACUAAAACCACAUUCUGAUCACAUCCACAUACAGAUUGCAUGCAGAAGAAAGUUUAUGAUCUUAUAUAGUAAAAUAUUAUUUUCUUUACGAAUGUUAUCAAAUGCCAAAAAGAGAAAACAUUUCAGCUCUU
Long non-coding RNA from Nymphaea colorata (pocket water lily), 2400 nucleotides. RefSeq lists it as uncharacterized. Lineage: Eukaryota; Viridiplantae; Streptophyta; Magnoliopsida; Nymphaeales; Nymphaeaceae. The record is from RefSeq and is a predicted model, not a curated record. The transcript has 6 exons.